Molecule: non-coding RNA, 772 nt
Organism: Benincasa hispida (wax gourd)
Lineage: Eukaryota; Viridiplantae; Streptophyta; Magnoliopsida; Cucurbitales; Cucurbitaceae
Source: RefSeq, a predicted model, not a curated record
CUCCCAGCAUCUGCCCCACCCCCACCCCCCGGAAUUUUCCCUACUCGCCCAGCCGCCCGCCCUCCUCAGCCCAUCGUCCAGACCGUCUCCAUCGCUGCUCGCCACCGAUCUCGACCAGCCGGUCAGCCGCUCGUCCAGCAUCGCUCGCCCCUCAGCGUGCCGAUCUUGCCAGCCGGUCAGAGUAGCGUCCGUUCUGUUAUGCUGAGAGUCGAGAGCCCAGAUCUGAAGGCGUCUUCGUCCGUUCUGUUCCCCCGAGAGCCGUUCGCCCAGUUCUGAAGGCAUCUUCGUCCGUUUGCAUCGUCGGAUCUCAUCUCCGCUGCUGCUAGCCACGUUGUCAGUCGUUUCGCCGUCAGUCUCCAUUGUUCGUCUCUGGUUGGAUUCAAAAGACUUGGGCCUUGUGAAUCGCCGUCCAUCAAGAUUUGUGAUCAAUUGGUAAGUUUAGCAAGAGUUUUGUUAAUUUUUUUGGGUUGCCUUUUGGUUUAGUGUGGGUUUAAUGUUUGGUUGGGUUUUAAAUUUGGAUUGAGACCCCUUGAAUUGGCUUGUUUCUGCAUUAAAUUUUGUGUUCGUGGCUCGAGUGAAGUGUCAGGUAAGUAUUUGGAUGUAUUGGUAUGAAUUUGUGAUUUGGGCUACAUUUUAGGGUUGGAAUUAAAUUCUGAUGUUUGCUUUAGGUUCAAUUCAAGGUUCUUUUUAGGUAAGGAGAAGAAUAAAUUUGUUGAGAUUGAGCUCGAACUCUCAAGUAAGUAAUCUUACUAUUGGAACUUUCCACGGACCA